CUACCCGGGGCGCGGCUUGUAAGGGGCGAAGCCACGCCCCUCCCCGGAACAAGCCCCGCCUUCUGGCGCGCGGCCUGUGAGGGGCGAGGCCACGCCCCUCCCCCGGGGAACGGCCGCUCGAGGGGCUUCCAGGGACCUCACUUCUGGCUGAAAGCCCCAUUUAUGGUUUCAGACUGUUCCCCUGUGCUUGGAUUAUGAAAUGAAAGACUCAGAAGCUCCUCAUCUACCAACUCUACACCAUUUUUUGUGUAUUUUAAUCAGUGCCACCUCUUACUCAUCUCCCAAGAUGAAAUGUUUCAUUAUUUUAAUACAGUGAUCUUGUCCAUGCUUUUAAGUUUUCAGACUCCAGAGCCCUAACACUGCAAAUUUUGUUUUUAGAUGUGUUGACUAGUAGUACAGAAUACCAAAUAAGAUAUUAAUAAUAAAUUUAUACAGUAUAUUAUAUAGUAUUUUCAAUUCAGGUUUCAUGCCUUGAGCAACUAAAAUGGUUUGCUUUUGAGUUUACCAGCACAGUCCAUGCCUUGAAGUCAGAUUAGGACUUUAUUCUUUUAUUAAUAUUUUUCUUAGGUACGACACUUGACUUCUAAAUUUGAAUAAAAGUAUCUUCAAAACA
Long non-coding RNA from Alligator mississippiensis (American alligator), 613 nucleotides. RefSeq lists it as uncharacterized. The transcript has 3 exons. The record is from RefSeq and is a predicted model, not a curated record. NCBI's taxonomy places the organism in Eukaryota, Metazoa, Chordata, Crocodylia, Alligatoridae.